RNAcentral lists this long non-coding RNA (624 nucleotides) under Homo sapiens (human). Its description in RNAcentral is "long intergenic non-protein coding RNA 261". The record is from RNAcentral. Lineage: Eukaryota; Metazoa; Chordata; Mammalia; Primates; Hominidae.
UGUGAGGUGUCCCCAGCCCCAUGGAAAUGUUCAUAGGUGGAAGGGACUUGCCUUGUCUCAGAUGAGACUUUGGACUGUGGAUUUCUAAGUUAAUGCUGAAAUGAGUUAAGACUUUUGGGGACUGCUGGGAAGUCUCAGGUAUGUCUUUAUCAGCAGCAUGAAAACGGACUAAUAUAGCACCUCUGCUGACAGCUAUAGGACCAAGGACUGUAGACCCAAAUGCAGCAGCCACACGUAUUUUCCUGUCAUGAAGAUUUUCUUUAAUAAAGCUGCAAGUUUUGGGGAAAGUAUGUGUGAUGACUGGGAACUGAUUCCCGAAGGCUAGCUGCAAACCACGACUGGGAAAGAAGCAGGAUGGGCCCAGACUUUGCGGUGGCUGCUGUCCACCAGAACAUUCAGGUUCAGAAGGGUCGUGGGGGUCCCCGAGCCUGCUGAAAGAUGAGGCCCAGUCCUGGCUCCACUCAACUUACCGCACCCAUGCUUCAUUGCUCCUCAAAGCACUCACGACUCUGAUAUUUUGCUUCUAUAUUUGCUUCUUAUUUGUCUCCCAUCACUAGGAUGAAAUCUUCCAGAGAGCAAUGGUUUUCUCUGUCUUAUUCACUGUUGUAAAUAGUGCCUGGCACA